RNAcentral lists this ribosomal RNA (464 nucleotides) under uncultured bacterium. RNAcentral describes it as "partial 16S ribosomal RNA". It matches the Rfam family "Bacterial small subunit ribosomal RNA", at positions 29 to 507 of the family's 1533-position model. The record is from RNAcentral.
ACGAACGCUGGCGGCGUGCUUAGCACAUGCAAGUCGAACGGAAAGGCCCUGCUUGCAGGGUACUCGAGUGGCGAACGGGUGAGUAACACGUGGGUGAUCUGCCCUGCACUUCGGGAUAAGCCUGGGAAACUGGGUCUAAUACCGGAUAGGAGCCAUUUUUAGUGUGAUGGUUGGAAAGUUUUUUCGGUGUAGGAUGAGCUCGCGGCCUAUCAGCUUGUUGGUGGGGUAAUGGCCUACCAAGGCGGCGACGGGUAGCCGGCCUGAGAGGGUGGACGGCCACAUUGGGACUGAGAUACGGCCCAGACUCCUACGGGAGGCAGCAGUGGGGAAUAUUGCACAAUGGGCGCAAGCCUGAUGCAGCGACGCCGCGUGGGGGAUGACGGCCUUCGGGUUGUAAACUCCUUUCGCUAGGGACGAAGCUUUUUGUGACGGUACCUAGAUAAGAAGCACCGGCUAACUACGUG